GCUUGCUUAGCUCAGUAGUGAAGAGCGUUUGCCUUACAAGCAAAAGGUCACUGGUUCGAAUCCAGUAGCGAGCA
RNAcentral lists this transfer RNA (74 nucleotides) under Paenibacillus sp. 1182. RNAcentral's name for it is "tRNA-Val". It matches the Rfam family "tRNA". Rfam says of the family: Transfer RNA (tRNA) molecules are approximately 80 nucleotides in length. Lineage: Bacteria; Bacillati; Bacillota; Bacilli; Caryophanales; Paenibacillaceae. The record is from RNAcentral.